GGGGGUAUAGCUCAGUGGUAGAGCACAUGCUUAGCCUGAAGGAGGUCUUGGGUUCAAUCCCCAGUACCUCUA
Molecule: transfer RNA, 72 nt
Filed under: Camelus ferus (Wild Bactrian camel)
Lineage: Eukaryota; Metazoa; Chordata; Mammalia; Artiodactyla; Camelidae
Rfam family: tRNA
About the family: Transfer RNA (tRNA) molecules are approximately 80 nucleotides in length.
Source: Rfam by way of RNAcentral